RNAcentral lists this long non-coding RNA (336 nucleotides) under Monodelphis domestica (gray short-tailed opossum). Its description in RNAcentral is "lncRNA (ENSMODG00000031300.2)". The record is from RNAcentral. Lineage: Eukaryota; Metazoa; Chordata; Mammalia; Didelphimorphia; Didelphidae.
UUCUAUCUCUCCAGACUUAUUUCAUACAACCACUUCUGUUCUAGGUGUACGGGAAUAAUUUCAGUGCCUAGAGAGACAAUCCAUCUGUCCUGCCCCUCCUACAACACUAAAUAACAAUUUUCUUUAAAUCCAAGGAGCAUUCUAUAUGAGGGGCUUGCAUCAGAUGUGAGGAAUCCCUGAUUCCUUGUGUGGAUGGAUUCAUUCCCACUCAGCUGCAUUCAUCAAGCCUUCUUCAAGCCCUUAACAGACAUGAAAUUUAGGGGAGGUGACACAAGAGAACAAGAUCUAUAAAAAGAGGACCAGAGACCAGAAGAAGAUAUUUGAUUCGAGAUUCGA